AGUGAGGAAUAUUGGUCAAUGGGCGAGAGCCUGAACCAGCCAAGUCGCGUGAAGGAUGACUGUCUUAUGGAUUGUAAACUUCUUUUAUACGGGAAUAACAAGAGCCACGUGUGGCUCCCUGCAUGUACCGUAUGAAUAAGCAUCGGCUAACUCCGUGCCAGCAGCCGCGGUAAUACGGAGGAUGCGAGCGUUAUCCGGAUUUAUUGGGUUUAAAGGGUGCGUAGGCGGCCUGUUAAGUCAGCGGUGAAAUCUAGGAGCUUAACUCCUAAAUUGCCAUUGAUACUGGCGGGCUUGAGUGUAGAUGAGGUAGGCGGAAUGCGUGGUGUAGCGGUGGAAUGCAUAGAUAUCACGCAGAACUCCGAUUGCGAAGGCAGCUUACUAAGGUACAACUGACGCUGAAGCACGAAAGCGUGGGUAUCAAA
RNAcentral lists this ribosomal RNA (422 nucleotides) under uncultured Porphyromonas sp. RNAcentral's name for it is "bacterial SSU rRNA". It matches the Rfam family "Bacterial small subunit ribosomal RNA", at positions 353 to 772 of the family's 1533-position model. Lineage: Bacteria; Pseudomonadati; Bacteroidota; Bacteroidia; Bacteroidales; Porphyromonadaceae. The record is from RNAcentral.